CCUACGGGGGGCUGCAGUGGGGAAUAUUGGACAAUGGGCGAAAGCCUGAUCCAGCCAUGCCGCGUGUGUGAAGAAGGCCUUCGGGUUGUAAAGCACUUUCAGUGGGGAAGAAAGCCUUGGGGCUAAUACCCUCGAGGAAGGACAUCACCCACAGAAGAAGCACCGGCUAACUCCGUGCCAGCAGCCGCGGUAAUACGGAGGGUGCGAGCGUUAAUCGGAAUUACUGGGCGUAAAGCGCGCGUAGGCGGUCUGAUAAGCCGGUUGUGAAAGCCCCGGGCUCAACCUGGGAACGGCAUCCGGAACUGUCAGGCUAGAGUGCAGGAGAGGAAGGUAGAAUUCCCGGUGUAGCGGGGAAAUGCGUAGAGAUCGGGAGGAAUACCAGUGGCGAAGGCGGCCUUCUGGACUGACACUGACGCUGAGGUGCGAAAGCGUGGGUAGCAAACAGGAUUAGAUACCCUAGUAGUC
RNAcentral lists this ribosomal RNA (465 nucleotides) under Vreelandella stevensii. RNAcentral's name for it is "partial 16S ribosomal RNA". It matches the Rfam family "Bacterial small subunit ribosomal RNA", at positions 338 to 795 of the family's 1533-position model. The record is from RNAcentral. Lineage: Bacteria; Pseudomonadati; Pseudomonadota; Gammaproteobacteria; Oceanospirillales; Halomonadaceae.